Molecule: long non-coding RNA, 7385 nt
Filed under: Triticum aestivum (bread wheat)
Lineage: Eukaryota; Viridiplantae; Streptophyta; Magnoliopsida; Poales; Poaceae
Description: long non-coding RNA (TAES_LNC011022)
Source: RNAcentral
ACAGCAAGAAGAUCGAUCUACCAGACGGGCUAUGCGUUGAAAUAUCUCCUGACGGUUGUACAUACCACGAUGGUCUUUGCUUCCAUUGUUUGGUAACUGACGUCUACUACCCCACUAUGGAUGACUGCAAGAGCAAUUGCAACAAAUCCUCGUCUUUACAAGACGUGCUAGUUGCCAUGACAACCUCCCCUCCUCCUCCUUUAUCUGCUCCUUAAUUUUCCGGCCUAGACAAUGGUUAUAUGUACAAGAUUGUCCCCUGAAAAUAAUGCCUAUGUGCGGAAACCAGUUAUGCAAUGCGAGUAAUAUACUGCAGCAGUUGUUGCUGAGUAUUUUGGUUUGGCAAAUCACAUUUGAACCUUUACUAGGAAUUGUUGGGAGAGCGAUGAAAUGACUCGCAAGCGCAGAUGCUCCGGAAAUCUGAGUGGUACAGCUUAGCUUGGGAUCUGUGUCGGUUAAAUCUGUGUCACAUAUACGUUUUAGAAUACAGAGGUGAAUACAUCUGCAGAUGGGCUAUACUGGACCAUAGUACUAACUCCUCGCAAAGUCGCAAGUCUCCUCUGUUCAAGUCCAUCGAUGUCCCAUGCAAAAUAAAAUGAAAUAAGUCCAUCGAUCUCUCACUUAAAAAGAGUCCUAUGGCUAUGGAUGACCAGGGAGGCCGCCCUUGGCCAAUAUCCGGCGCCGGUGAGUUCGUCUACCCUGUCAUGGUGGGUUUCUCAUCUAUCCUACCUCUCAUGAGGCGUCCGGUUCUUGUCUUUCCCAAGCUCACAUUAAUAUUCCCAAAUCAGCCCUCGGCCGGCCUUGGCGACAUCAUCUUCAUCCACUCCCGUGCUGCACACACCCAUUUCUCUGAUCUCUUAAAGCAACUCUAGCCGAGCCCAUAAAAGAUACAGGAGUAUUUGGCCGGGUAAACCUUAAUGGAGUAAAUUUAGUCCACUAAGUUUUGGUCGGUUCUAGCUGAUCCCCUAAAUUUAGCGGAGUAAAAUAAAAUUUGGUUAAGAUGAACAUAGAUUCGAUCUAAACAAACUUCUAAACCGAAAUUCGACACGUAAUUUACAUUAUCAUCCGUCGAAACAUAGUUCAAAGUGAUACUAAAACUUGAACUCAAACAUAAGCUAAAAUCUAAAUCUAACCAAAAAAAUUAGUCGCUAUUCGACUUUGCGAGGGAGAGCAAGUCCUCCCUAGAGAUUCCACCGCCCAUGGGGUCAGUCCCUAGGUCGUCUUCGUUGUAUCCAGGAAGGUCCUUCACCACUCCUCGAUGUUGAAGCUGUCAUCGUUGCCGCCUCCACUGCCACCAUUGUUGCCGCCUCCACCGAGCCAGCUCGUCAUCGACCAGCGCCCACGUGCAUCUAGGGAUCAUACAUUCAACAGGGGGUGACUCCAUGAGUCAGGUGAUCCACAAAAACCGCAUGAGCUAGAGUCCGCCAUAUGGCUGUGUGCCCAAUAUCAUUUGUUGCUAAAGAAUGUAUGGAUAGAUGCCAAAGGAACAGCCUCACGUUUCCCGGCACCAGAACUUUCCAUAAACUUUUCCAUGAGCCCUCUUCAGCAGCCGAGGUGGAGGAACCAUCCCUUUGAUCUAAGCAUGACUAUUGGAGAACUAAUUACAAUUAUGAAAUAUACAAAUAUAGACAUAGGAGAUAAGUCCAACCAAAUUUGGGAACUUGUCUAAAAAGGGAGAAAAUUAGUCUGACUUGAUUUUGCUUUUAAUGAGGGUUCAUAAUAUAGGAUGAUAUUAAAUAAUCCAAUUUUAUUGCUUGAUGGUUUACACGGGAUAAGGAUGACCGGUUCUCUCUUCUCUCAAUAUAUACGAUCGACUCAUGUGCUCAUUGGUAACCAAACAUUUCUCAUCGACAACCAAAGUGACCUGAGUGCCUGCGUAGCUAGUGUUGUAUCUGGUUGGCCAUGGACAAGUACACGAUUCGCAUCCUUGCACUAGGAGCCCUAGUGUGUCUACAUCUCGUAUGCUCUGCUACUGUUGCUCAAUGUAAGGCAGCUAGCAUACCAAUAUUUAUGUAUCUUCACAAUGCUUAAUUUUUCUUCACUUGUCCUGGCUGGAAGUAUGUACCUAGUAUAGCUAUCAAAGGCCUUUCUAUUUUGCUUUGUAACUGGUUCCAUCGUUUAUAUGCAUAUAUAUACAUACACACUACUCUAAAAUAAUUGCAUAACGAUGGUUGUUCGUUUGUUAUUACUCCAUAAUAUACAGGCCAAAUCAUGGCUGACACCGACAGCAAGAAGAUCGAUCUACCAGACGGGCUAUGCGUUGAAAUAUCUCCUGACGGUUGUACAUACCACGAUGGUCUUUGCUUCCAUUGUUUGGUAACUGACGUCUACUACCCCACUAUGGAUGACUGCAAGAGCAAUUGCAACAAAUCCUCGUCUUUACAAGACGUGCUAGUUGCCAUGACAACCUCCCCUCCUCCUCCUUUAUCUGCUCCUUAAUUUUCCGGCCUAGACAAUGGUUAUAUGUACAAGAUUGUCCCCUGAAAAUAAUGCCUAUGUGCGGAAACCAGUUAUGCAAUGCGAGUAAUAUACUGCAGCAGUUGUUGCUGAGUAUUUUGGUUUGGCAAAUCACAUUUGAACCUUUACUAGGAAUUGUUGGGAGAGCGAUGAAAUGACUCGCAAGCGCAGAUGCUCCGGAAAUCCGAGUGGUACAGCUUAGCUUGGGAUCUGUGUCGGUUAAAUCUGUGUCACAUAUACGUUUUAGAAUACAGAGGUGAAUACAUCUGCAGAUGGGCUAUACUGGACCAUAGUACUAACUCCUCGCAAAGUCGCAAGUCUCCUCUCUUCAAGUCCAUCGAUGUCCCAUGCAAAAUAAAAUGAAAUAAGUCCAUCGAUCUCUCACUUAAAAAGAGUCCUAUGGCUAUGGAUGACCAGGGAGGCCGCCCUUGGCCAAUAUCCGGCGCCGGUGAGUUCGUCUACCCUGUCAUGGUGGGUUUCUCAUCUAUCCUACCUCUCAUGAGGCGUCCGGUUCUUGUCUUUCCCAAGCUCACAUUAAUAUUCCCAAAUCAGCCCUCGGCCGGCCUUGGCGACAUCAUCUUCAUCCACUCCCGUGCUGCACACACCCAUUUCUCUGAUCUCUUAAAGCAACUCUAGCCGAGCCCAUAAAAGAUACAGGAGUAUUUGGCCGGGUAAACCUUAAUGGAGUAAAUUUAGUCCACUAAGUUUUGGUCGGUUCUAGCUGAUCCCCUAAAUUUAGCGGAGUAAAAUAAAAUUUGGUUAAGAUGAACAUAGAUUCGAUCUAAAUAAACUUCUAAACCGAAAUUCGACACGUAAUUUACAUUAUCAUCCGUCGAAACAUAGUUCAAAGUGAUACUAAAACUUGAACUCAAACAUAAGCUAAAAUCUAAAUCUAACCAAAAAAAUUAGUCGCUAUUCGACUUUGCGAGGGAGAGCAAGUCCUCCCUAGAGAUUCCACCGCCCAUGGGGUCAGUCCCUAGGUCGUCUUCGUUGUAUCCAGGAAGGUCCUUCACCACUCCUCGAUGUUGAAGCUGUCAUCGUUGCCGCCUCCACUGCCACCAUUGUUGCCGCCUCCACCGAGCCAGCUCGUCAUCGACCAGCGCCCACGUGCAUCUAGGGAUCAUACAUUCAACAGGGGGUGACUCCAUGAGUCAGGUGAUCCACAAAAACCGCAUGACCUAGAGUCCGCCAUAUGGCUGUGUGCCCCAACAUCAUUUGUUGGUAAAGAAUGUAUGGAUAGAUGCCAAAGGAACAGCCUCACGUUUCCCGGCACCAGAACUUUCCAUAAACUUUUCCAUGAGCCCUCUUCAGCAGCCGAGGUGGAGGAACCAUCCCUUUGAUCUAAGCAUGACUAUUGGAGAAUUAAUUACAAUUCUGAAAUAUACAAAUAUAGACAUAGGAGAUAAGUCCAACCAAAUUUGGGAACUUGUCUAAAAAGGGAGAAAAUUAGUCUGACUUGAUUUGUGCUUUUAAUGAGGGUUCAUAAUAUAGGAUGAUAUUAAAUAAAUCCAAUUUUAUUGCUUGAUGGUUUACACGGGAUAAGGAUGACCGGUUCUCUCUUCUCUCAAUAUAUACGAUCGACUCAUGUGCUCAUUGGUAACCAAACAUUUCUCAUCGACAACCAAAGUGACCUGAGAGCUUGCGUAGCUACUGUUGUAUCUGGUUGGCCAUGGACAAGUACACGAUUCGCAUCCUUGCACUAGGAGCCCUAGUGUGUCUACAUCUCGUAUGCUCUGCUACUGUUGCUCAAUGUAAGGCAGCUAGCACACCCAUAUUUAUGUAUCUUCACAAUGCUUAAUUUUUCUUCACUUGUCCUGGCUGGAAGUAUGUACCUAGUAUAGCUAUCAAAGGCCUUUCUAUUUUGCUUCGUAACUGGUUCCAUCGUUUAUAUGCAUAUAUAUACAUACACACUACUCUAAAAUAAUUGCAUAACGAUGGUUGUUCGUUUGUUAUUAUUCCAUAAUAUACAGGCCAAAUCAUGGCUGACACCGACAGCAAGAAGAUCGAUCUACCAGACGGGCUAUGCGUUGAAAUAUCUCCUGACGGUUGUACAUACCACGAUGGUCUUUGCUUCCAUUGUUUGGUAACUGACGUCUACUACCCCACUAUGGAUGACUGCAAGAGCAAUUGCAACAAAUCCUCGUCUUUACAAGACGUGCUAGUUGCCAUGACAACCUCCCCUCCUCCUCCUUUAUCUGCUCCUUAAUUUUCCGGCCUAGACAAUGGUUAUAUGUACAAGAUUGUCCCCUGAAAAUAAUGCCUAUGUGCGGAAACCAGUUAUGCAAUGCGAGUAAUAUACUGCAGCAGUUGUUGCUGAGUAUUUUGGUUUGGCAAAUCACAUUUGAACCUUUACUAGGAAUUGUUGGGAGAGCGAUGAAAUGACUCGCAAGCGCAGAUGCUCCGGAAAUCCGAGUGGUACAGCUUAGCUUGGGAUCUGUGUCGGUUAAAUCUGUGUCACAUAUACGUUUUAGAAUACAGAGGUGAAUACAUCUGCAGAUGGGCUAUACUGGACCAUAGUACUAACUCCUCGCAAAGUCGCAAGUCUCCUCUCUUCAAGUCCAUCGAUGUCCCAUGCAAAAUAAAAUGAAAUAAGUCCAUCGAUCUCUCACUUAAAAAGAGUCCUAUGGCUGUGGAUGACCAGGGAGGCCGCCCUUGGCCAAUAUCCGGCACCGGUGAGUUCGUAUACCCUGUCAUGGUGGGUUUCUCAUCUAUCCUACCUCUCAUGAGGCGUCCGGUUCUUGUCUUUCCCAAGCUCACAUUAAUAUUCCCAAAUCAGCCAUCGGCCGGCCUUGGCGACAUCAUCUUCAUCCACUCCCGUGCUGCACACACCCAUUUCUCUGAUCUCUUAAAGCAACUCUAGCCGAGCCCAUAAAAGAUACAGGAGUAUUUGGCCGGGUAAACCUUAAUGGAGUAAAUUUAGUCCACUAAGUUUUGGUCGGUUCUAGCUGAUCCCCUAAAUUUAGCGGAGUAAAAUAAAAUUUGGUUAAGAUGAACAUAGAUUCGAUCUAAACAAACUUCUAAACUGAAAUUCGACACGUAAUUUACAUUAUCAUCCGUCGAAACAUAGUUCAAAGCGAUACUAAAACUUGAACUCAAACAUAAGCUAAAAUCUAAAUCUAACCAAAAAAAUUAGUCGCUAUUCGACUUUGCGAGGGAGAGCAAGUCCUCCCUAGAGAUUCCACCGCCCAUGGGGUCAGUCCCUAGGUCGUCUUUGUUGUAUCCAGGAAGGUCCUUCACCACUUAUCGAUGUUGAAGCUGUCAUCGUUGCCGCCUCCACUGCCACCAUUGUUGCCGCCUCCACCGAGCCAGCUCGUCAUCGACCAGCGCCCACGUGCAUCUAGGGAUCAUACAUUCAACAGGGGGUGACUCCAUGAGUCAGGUGAUCCACAAAAACCGCAUGAGCUAGAGUCCACCAUAUGGCUGUGUGCCCAAUAUCAUUUGUUGCUAAAGAAUGUAUGGAUAGAUGCCAAAGGAACAGCCUCACGUUUCCCGGCACUAGAACUUUCCAUAAACUUUUCCAUGAGCCCUCUUCAGCAGCCGAGGUGGAGGAACCAUCCCUUUGAUCUAAGCAUGACUAUUGGAGAAUUAAUUACAAUUAUGAAAUAUACAAAUAUAGACAUAGGAGAUAAGUCCAACCAAAUUUGGGAACUUGUCUAAAAAGGGAGAAAAUUAGUCUGACUUGAUUUGUGCUUUUAAUGAGGGUUCAUAUUAUAGGAUGAUAUUAAAUAAAUCCAAUUUUAUUGCUUGAUGGUUUACACGGGAUAAGGAUGACCAGUUCUCUCUUCUCUCAAUAUAUACGAUCGAUUCAUGUGCUCAUUGGUAACCAAACAUUUCUCAUCGACAACCAAAGUGACCUGAGAGCUUGCGUAGCUAGUGUUGUAUCUGGUUGGCCAUGGACAAGUACACGAUUCGCAUCCUUGCACUAGGAGCCCUAGUGUGUCUACAUCUCGUAUGCUCUGCUACUGUUGCUCAAUGUAAGGCAGCUAGCACACCGAUAUUUAUGUAUCUUCACAAUGCUUAAUUUUUCUUCACUUGUCCUGGCUGGAAGUAUGUACCUAGUAUAGCUAUCAAAGGCCUUUCUAUUUUGCUUUGUAACUGGUUCCAUCGUUUAUAUGCAUAUAUAUACAUACACACUACUCUAAAAUAAUUGCAUAACGAUGGUUGUUCGUUUGUUAUUAUUCCAUAAUAUAUAGGCCAAAUCAUGGCUGACACCGAUAGCAAGAAGAUCGAUCUACCAGACGGGCUAUGCGUUAAAAUAUCUCCUGAUGGUUGUACAUACCACGAUGGUCUUUGCUUCCAUUGUUUGGUAACUGACGUCUACUACCACACUAUGGAUGACUGCAAGAGCAAUUGUAACAAAUCCUCGUCUUUACAAGACGUGCUAGUUGCCAUGACAACCUCCCCUCCUCCUCCUUUAUCUGCUCCUUAAUUUUCCGGCCUAGACAAUGGUUAUAUGUACAAGAUUGUCCCCUGAAAAUAAUGCGUAUGUGCGGAAACCAGUUAUGCAAUGCGAGUAAUAUACUGCAGCAGUUGUUGCUGAGUAUUUUGGUUUGGCAGAUCACAUUUGAACCUUUACUAGCAAUUGUUGGGAGAGCGAUGAAAUGACUCGCAAGCGCAGAUGCUCCGGAAAUCUGAGUGGUACAACUUAGCUUGGGAUCUGUGUCAGUUAACUCUUUGUCACAUAUACGUUUUAGAAUACAGAGGUGAAUACAUUUGCAGAUGGGCCAUACUGGACCAUAGUACUCAGUACUCGCAAAGUCACAAGUCUCCUCUCUUCAAGUCCAUCGAUGUCCCAUGCAAAAUAAAAUGAAAUAAGUUCAUCGAUCUCUCGCUUAAAAAGAGUCCUAUGGCUGUGGAUGACCAAGGAGGCCGCCCUUGGCCAAUAUCCGGCACCAGUGAGUUCUUCUACCCUGUCAUGGUGGGUUUCGCAU